Callithrix jacchus (white-tufted-ear marmoset) is the source of this 2877-nucleotide long non-coding RNA. Lineage: Eukaryota; Metazoa; Chordata; Mammalia; Primates; Cebidae. The record is from Ensembl.
AUGAAGCAAAGAAAAUCCUUAAAAAUCCUUUUAAAUAAUAAGAAAUGCUCAGCAAGAAAAAAGAGAAAUAAUACAUUAUCUUCAUACUCUAUACAAUCUUCACGUAACCUUGGCCUUUCAGCUAAAGGAAAAGGUAUUUUUCAAUUUCCUCCUUACAAAAGUAAGUUUCAGAGAUUAAAAUUUGUUCCAAACAGGUUCCACAUGACACAUACUGAAUUCAUUCCCAGAUGCAUAAAUGGCUGCAGAACUACAUCUGAAUAAAGACUUACAUAAGGGCUAAAUCCUUCUCAAAUUAAAUGCGCAUUAUAUGUACCUUCUUUUGGCAAACAAAGAAAAAGCCAUCCUUUAUUUGCCCAUUCAAAUGAGGCUGCGGAAUACCGAAGUAGUACCAAGCGAGAAAUUGUCUUUUAGAGUUGUAUUGUUAGCUAGUUAGUCCAUAGUACAGAAGGCUCCUGAAGUGAUGGUAGAUGUGAAUGCAGAAAAGCUAUGACAAGAGAAAGAACAGAGAUGGAAAAAAGGCUGGCUUGAGGGGCAUAGGGAGAAAAACAUGAGAAAAGUGGAAAAGGAAGUCUGGAAUAUAAUAAACUCAAGGAAACACAGAUCAGAAAGAUAGAGCUAAAAUUCAAUCAGUAAGAUUAAAGGAAGAACAAAUUGUGUAUAGCGAUUUAGGUUCAACUGAGGAAACUCUUGUCAGAGUCCAUGAGCCAGAGUAAUUGGAGCAGCCUUGUUUUCCAAGGCUGUGGGCAAUCAAGGGCACAGUUUUAACUUUUAUUUUGGAGCUGUGCCUGAAACGCAGACUGAAAAAUUUUGCUUACUUACAUGAUCAGAAGCUGAAAACAAUGACAUUUAGGUAGCUGUCAUGGGAAUCUAGUUGAAAACCAACACAUUGAUUGGUUUUCAACUAGAUUAAUUGGAUUAAUUAUGUGUUUUCCAGGUGUGUAUGAAAUGCAGUCCAUUCAGAAAGCAGAGAUAACGUCUUCAUACAGGAUACAUAGAGGAAACAAGAAAAUCUAUUUUGUAUCCUGGGCAUUUGCUGUUUUGUUGAGAGUUACAGUGUAAUUGAAAAAGAAACCUACUUUAUCUUUUUCAUGGGGCAGCAUGGAAGUGAGCAGUGGCCCAGGCAAGAACGUUUCCGCUGGAUACUAGCUUUCGCUUUUUUUUUACUAAAAAAUGCUGAUUUUUAUUACUUUCUAAAAAUGAGCUAUGCCAUGUAAAAAGGCAAGUUUAAAGCAAAAAUUGGAAUUUUAAAAGUUUCUCAUUGGAAACAUUGGUCAAUAGCUGACUAAGAAUGGCAAUUUAUGCCCUGAGGCGUAUUUAACAAGACUGUUUUCUAUGUGGGUAACUUGAUGCAUGCAUUUGGCUAAUAAUGGGCACUUGAAGGAUCUGUGCUUGAGUCAAUAAGAUUUCUUAAUGUGUUCUCUUAAUGGACCAUUAACUUUCUAUUUUGAAGGUUAUCAAGGCUGCAUUAUUUAUUUAGUUAUAUAUUGGAUUUAGAAAGUAGGCUCUCAAAGCCUAUGCUGUACUUGGCAUUUAUUGAGUAACUACUCUUCUGAACUCUUAAAUAUAAUGUGCUCACAGCCUGGUCCUUCCCUUCUAAUAGCAUGAUUAUAUACUGUUUUUAAUAUACUUAUUAUUUUUCUAUUUGAUAAUAUAAUUCUUUAAUAGCCAUAUGGGAAUCUCCAUGCAGCUAGUUAAACAUGGAAAAACUCUUAAAGAGAGCAAUGUGGGUGAGCUUUUUUUCCCUUGAGCCACAAGAGGUUGUAAACUUCUUUUCUUUCUGUUAAAACUCAUUUCCCUUCCUGGUUCCCACUUUGUCUAACAUUUUAUUGUAAUGUUCCUGGAAUCUAUUUUGUAGAUUUUUUCUGGGCUAUAACUGUGCAUUGCAGUUUCCAUUAAUAUUGUUUUCUGGUAAUGAACUCUGUGCUUUCAAAAGAACAAUCAUACUUAAUCUUUUGUAUUACAAUUGUGGAUCCUUUUGUAUGCAGUAGAUAAGCAUAAAAAUAUAAGAAAAUAAAAGAUCAAAACUUCAGUCUUAGGACUAAAUAAUGUUUACAUUUUUUUGUUUUGUUUUGUUUUGCAGAACUGUACUUUGAGCCAGAAACUGUCAGAAGAAUAAAUUUUUCAGCUUUCUUCUAGGCUAUUAUUUCUGGGAAGCUCCUCCAACAGCUUCCAUCUUCCACCCAAUUCCUGCCUUUGACCAUCUGAAUCUCAGACUUUCUGCCUUGUUAGAGUCUUUUGGUUCUUUUAUUUCCCCUUUUCCUUGCCUCCUGCCUUCCUGUCAUCAAUUAGCAAAUACUUUGUCUGCUUUGCUAAGCUGCUAACAGAACACAAGACAGUAAAAAUUCAAUAAGUGCUAUAAAGGGUAAUAGAGUCUAAUUAGAGAGAUAAAAACAUCGCAAAUGGAUCGAUUAAGUAGAACUAAUUACCACCAUUACCUAUAAUAACAGCUAACAUUCAGAGCCAUUCCUUUAUAUUAAGGACUUCAUACACAUCAUCUCAUUUAAUGACUAUGAGCCUGGGAAAGCUCUUCAUACAUUCUGAGUUGAGAGUUCCUCCCUUACACAAGUCAGGGAUCUUACUGCCGAAUAACAUAGCAUAUAUCUAUAGGCCAUGGUAGUGAAUGGAGCUAUUACUGUUGGAUGCAAUAACAAAGAAAGGCUACAUGGGAGAGAUAAAUAUUUAUUGAAAGAAUUCAUAAACAUUGCCUAUUAAGUAUAUGUGAAAGCAAUACAAAAUGGAUAAAAAUGCAUUUGAGUGUAUCUAUGAGUGUUUUUUAAGGAAGAAGCAAUGAGAAGACGUAUCUAUGGAAGAGCUGUUUCUGAGAUAACCUAAAUCAUCAAGCCCUUUAGAUUUUGGGACUACAAUUUAUAAAAAGGG